This 205-nucleotide long non-coding RNA is filed under the name Mytilus galloprovincialis (Mediterranean mussel). Lineage: Eukaryota; Metazoa; Mollusca; Bivalvia; Mytilida; Mytilidae. The record is from RNAcentral.
GGUGUGGCCACGGUUGGAUUGUAUGUCACUUCUGUUAUUUUUUAUUAUAAAAGGGCACAUUUAAAGAAUGAAACAGCUGUUACGGGAAAGAUAACAUAUUUGUCAACCAAAUACAACUUUAUUUUUAUUCAUUUGUCUAGUUCUAUGGGGUGCGCCAGGCUCUUGAAGUUGGACGUUCACACGCCAUCUUUGAAUGCUGCCCGUU